ACCAUUAAUGCAUCUUUUACUGAUGCCACCCUUAACAUCAGUGGUGAAUCCAACAUGGGCAUGAUAGGCAGAUGGGUGUUUCGUAUUGAUCAACCUAAGAUUGAGGCUCCAACUGUGAAUGCUUCCAGAUCGAUAAGUGAAAUUGCCAGAGAAUGUGCUGUCCCAGAUGGGAGUCUGUGCAUUGCUGACGGUAAUCCUGAAGGAUGCAGCUGCUCAGGUUCCCCUCUUGAGUGUACGUGCUCAGCGGGGUUCUUCGGCUUAAAC
Acanthaster planci (crown-of-thorns starfish) is the source of this 264-nucleotide long non-coding RNA. The record is from RefSeq and is a predicted model, not a curated record. NCBI's taxonomy places the organism in Eukaryota, Metazoa, Echinodermata, Asteroidea, Valvatida, Acanthasteridae.